UGCAUCACGUGCGUGAAGGCGACGAUCUCGAAGAGCUUCGCCAACAUGCGCGCGUCGUUGAUGUCGCCCUCCACGAUGAAGAUGCUCUGCGAGGCGAGGAGAUUUUUGCGGUCGCGCUUCAGGGAGGGGUCGUAGUAGCUGUUGAAGUUGUCGAUGCCGACGACGCCGUCGCCGCGCUUCUUCAGGGCGAGGGAGACGUGGCUGCCGACGAAGCCGGCGGCGCCGGUGACGAGGACGGCGCGGCCGCUGUGGCGGCGGAUCUGGGCGGAGGCGCGGACCUGCUUCUCCCACUGGAUGCCGCCCCACGCGGUG
This 312-nucleotide long non-coding RNA is filed under the name Salvia miltiorrhiza (redroot sage). RNAcentral describes it as "long non-coding RNA (SMIL_LNC006400)". Lineage: Eukaryota; Viridiplantae; Streptophyta; Magnoliopsida; Lamiales; Lamiaceae. The record is from RNAcentral.